Molecule: ribosomal RNA, 692 nt
Filed under: Faecalibacterium prausnitzii
Lineage: Bacteria; Bacillati; Bacillota; Clostridia; Eubacteriales; Oscillospiraceae
Description: bacterial SSU rRNA
Rfam family: Bacterial small subunit ribosomal RNA
Source: RNAcentral
UGUUGUUGAGGAAGAUAAUGACGGUACUCAACAAGGAAGUGACGGCUAACUACGUGCCAGCAGCCGCGGUAAAACGUAGGUCACAAGCGUUGUCCGGAAUUACUGGGUGUAAAGGGAGCGCAGGCGGGAGAACAAGUUGGAAGUGAAAUCCAUGGGCUCAACCCAUGAACUGCUUUCAAAACUGUUUUUCUUGAGUAGUGCAGAGGUAGGCGGAAUUCCCGGUGUAGCGGUGGAAUGCGUAGAUAUCGGGAGGAACACCAGUGGCGAAGGCGGCCUACUGGGCACCAACUGACGCUGAGGCUCGAAAGUGUGGGUAGCAAACAGGAUUAGAUACCCUGGUAGUCCACACCGUAAACGAUGAUUACUAGGUGUUGGAGGAUUGACCCCUUCAGUGCCGCAGUUAACACAAUAAGUAAUCCACCUGGGGAGUACGACCGCAAGGUUGAAACUCAAAGGAAUUGACGGGGGCCCGCACAAGCAGUGGAGUAUGUGGUUUAAUUCGACGCAACGCGAAGAACCUUACCAAGUCUUGACAUCCCUUGACGAUGCUGGAAACAGUAUUUCUCUUCGGAGCAAGGAGACAGGUGGUGCAUGGUUGUCGUCAGCUCGUGUCGUGAGAUGUUGGGUUAAGUCCCGCAACGAGCGCAACCCUUAUGGUCAGUUACUACGCAAGAGGACUCUGGCCAGACUGC